GACGAACGCUGGCGGCGUGCUUAACACAUGCAAGUCGAACGGAAAGGCCCUGCUUUUGUGGGGUGCUCGAGUGGCGAACGGGUGAGUAACACGUGAGUAACCUGCCCUUGACUUUGGGAUAACUUCAGGAAACUGGGGCUAAUACCGGAUAGGAGCUCCUGCUGCAUGGUGGGGGUUGGAAAGUUUCGGCGGUUGGGGAUGGACUCGCGGCUUAUCAGCUUGUUGGUGGGGUAGUGGCUUACCAAGGCUUUGACGGGUAGCCGGCCUGGGAGGGUGACCGGCCACAUUGGGACUGAGAGACGGCCCAGACGCCUACGGGAGGCAGAAGUGGGGAAUAUUGCACAAUGGGCGGAAGCCUGAUGCAGCAACGCCGCGUGCGGGAUGACGGCCUUCGGGUUGUAAACCGCUUUCGCCUGUGACGAAGCGUGAGUGACGGUAAUGGGUAAAGAAGCACCGGCUAACUACGU
This 467-nucleotide ribosomal RNA is filed under the name uncultured bacterium. RNAcentral's name for it is "partial 16S ribosomal RNA". It matches the Rfam family "Bacterial small subunit ribosomal RNA", at positions 28 to 506 of the family's 1533-position model. The record is from RNAcentral.